CCUCCAGAAACUUGCCUUCCCACCCUCAGGCUGCAUUUUUCUUUGUAUCUCCACCCAUCUUCUCCUUGAUAUCUUUGGCCAUUUCAUUAUUUUUGUAAAGCAGUUUUCAGAGUUCCCUCCAGUUUUCCUUCGCAAUCAGUAGUAUCCUGCUGUCGUCUAAAAGGACAAGGCACAGAACUUAGGAAUCAAUAGGUAGUGGGGGAGACUGUGGAUACUUAGGUCUGAAUUUUCCCUUGCCUAUUCAUAAAAAAGAUUGUCACCUGCUUGACCUUGCAGUCAAAUACCUCUGCAGUCUCAUCUGCCAUUCCUUUCCCCCCAUUUUUAUUGUCCCUGCCACAAAGCCCAUGCUCCAGCCAAAUUAAAUGAUGCUCUUCUACUCCUUCCCAGUUUCCACAUUGCUGGUGUCUUUGCUUAUUCCCUGCCCAGGUCCCAGGUGAGGAGUGCUCUGCUCCCCCAUUUCUGUGCUUCCAGAUUCUUUAGGUCUUUCCAGGCCAGUUGGGAUCCCACCUUUUUCUGGAAGCAUUUCACUUCCUGACAAAAUGUGGAUCACCUCUGCUUCUGUAAUCUCCACAGCAAUGUAGUCAUCUCAUCUCACUUCUUUCCUAUUUUUAAGCUAACCUAAAGUAGCCUCAGGAACUCUGAGAAGAGAAAAUGAUGGUACUCUUCUUUCACUAUCUUGCAUAUAGCCAAGCCAAGAUGCUCAAAAAGUAAAUAUCCAUAGUAAUUAGUAAAACACUCCAUUAAAUAAUCACUCUAUGAAAUCAACACUUUAAAAAGCAAACUUAGAAAUUUCUUCCAAGUUUCUGUAUGCAUUUGACAUAUUGAUUCAACCUCAGUUCUCAGUAGUUUAGCUUUUUGAACUUAGAAAAUUCAUACAAGUAUUCCAGUUUUGUCAGUAAAACCCCUAAAGGGAAGUGUGACAUGGAAGUAAUGAUUAUCAAAUCAAAAUCAUACACAUGCACAACCUUUUUCUUAAAGUGAAAUUAAAAAUGUAGCCCAAGAUAUAGAAAAGCAGAACUAUUCUACUCGGACAGUAUUUCACACAUCAUGUAUUCUCCUGGCUUUUCCCCCAACCCGGCUUUCUUUGGCACUCCUAAAAUAUGUCUGUAGAACCUUCGGGUCACUGGGACAAUUUGAAAACCUCUCAGCAGCUCAGCACAUUAAAUACCAACCCUGUAUUCAACAUGAAGGUAUCUCUUUCCUGUCCAGCUUCCAUAAUUACUAUGAUAUGGGGGCCCUUCUAGGUCUCUAAGAGAGGACUUAAUCUGGUUUAAAAAAUUUGCUCAAUGUGGGAUAGAAAUUUUAAAAGUAACCAUUACCAACACCAUUCAUUUGUGAUAUGUUUUGUAAGAAUUAUUUUAUACAAAUAAAAUUAUUUUAACAAAUAAAAAUAAGAACUUUGGCAUUUACAUGAGAAGUCUU
Molecule: long non-coding RNA, 1422 nt
Filed under: Marmota monax (woodchuck)
Lineage: Eukaryota; Metazoa; Chordata; Mammalia; Rodentia; Sciuridae
Source: RNAcentral